This 495-nucleotide ribosomal RNA is filed under the name uncultured bacterium. RNAcentral describes it as "partial 16S ribosomal RNA". It matches the Rfam family "Bacterial small subunit ribosomal RNA", at positions 30 to 507 of the family's 1533-position model. The record is from RNAcentral.
UGAACGCUGGCGGCGUGCCUAAUACAUGCAAGUCGAGCGAACAGACGAGGAGCUUGCUCCUCUGACGUUAGCGGCGGACGGGUGAGUAACACGUGGAUAACCUACCUAUAAGACUGGGAUAACUUCGGGAAACCGGAGCUAAUACCGGAUAAUAUAUUGAACCGCAUGGUUCAAUAGUGAAAGACGGUUUUGCUGUCACUUAUGGAUGGAUCCGCGCCGCAUUAGCUAGUUGGUAAGGUAACGGCUUACCAAGGCAACGAUGCGUAGCCGACCUGAGAGGGUGAUCGGCCACACUGGAACUGAGACACGGUCCAGACUCCUACGGGAGGCAGCAGUAGGGAAUCUUCCGCAAUGGGCGAAAGCCUGACGGAGCAACGCCGCGUGAGUGAUGAAGGUCUUCGGAUCGUAAAACUCUGUUAUUAGGGAAGAACAAAUGUGUAAGUAACUAUGCACGUCUUGACGGUACCUAAUCAGAAAGCCACGGCUAACUACGUG